Molecule: long non-coding RNA, 1254 nt
Filed under: Struthio camelus australis
Lineage: Eukaryota; Metazoa; Chordata; Aves; Struthioniformes; Struthionidae
Description: lncRNA (ENSSCUG00000015445.1)
Source: RNAcentral
GCCCGGGGCGAGGAAGGAGAUAUCGGAGCCCAGCCGGGUGCAGAAGCCGCUGUCCUGGCAGUUACCGCUCUCCUGUCUGUCGGUCGUGGCACGCCCCGUUUCUUUCUGCCUUCUCCCGCCGUCUGUGUUUGCCCACGGUGUCCUGCCGCCCCCGUGAAGCACCACCCGUGUAUCUCGCACUCUGGUUAUUCUAACUCCCAACAAAAUGUGGUUAGGAACUGCAGCCAUGAUGUCAACGCCUGGUUCACCUUGGUCGUUUCACGCAGGGCUGUGCUGCCAAUGGCGCAGUUGGCGGGACCACCAGGAAGGCAAACAAUUAAAAAUAAGUGCUGUAAGCAGUUGCAAGACCUGUGACCACAGCAGCAGGAGGGAGGACUGCACCAUGUCCACAAGAAGCUUUUCAGCAGUUUGGAAAGCAUCUGCAGGGCUCCUGGAGGUAGGUGGAGUAUCUCAGUUUGGAAAAGUCCUUCUCUACAGAAUGAGUAAUGUGGUGUAAUUCCUGGUGGACAAACAAGGACUUGAGCACUAGAAAUGCAUUUACCUUUUCUCCUAUCUUGCAGGUUCCUGUGGGUACAGGAGGAGGAGUCGGGGGGGAAGGCUUGAGGAAUGGGAUCCCACUUAAAAAAACACUUCACCUCCAUCCAUUUUUAAGAGUAUCAUUUCUUUACAGUGGUACAACCCCUAAGAGUAUGUUACCUGGAACCUCUGUCAGCUGCUGGUUUGGCUUUGUACCCAUUUGACUUUACUGGAAUCUUUUUCUGCCUCUUUAGAUCUCUAUAGUUUUGGAAAGGCUUCUCCAUUCAGUCCGAUCAUCAUAUCUGGGAGGAGGCUGUACCAUUAGGUCCAUGAACAAGCAGUGAUUUGGCAUCUAAGGCUGGCCUCCCUGGCUGUUUACAAAUGCUCGUGCUCAGAAUCCUUGCUCAGCCGCCAACUAGGGAGACAACUCACGUCCACAUAUAGUAUGGACAGCUUGUUAUCAACACAAAGUGAAUCACUCUGUACGUCUGGGCCUAUUGUGCCACACUACUUGCUGAUGUAAACGUAACCGAAGUCUAGAAUGAUUCCAUACACUGGACUUGAUUGAUCUCAUCUGCAGAGUCCAUUGCACUAGAAACUCUUAGUAUGAGACAACGAGGUAGACCCUGUGCAAAACAGAAGUAUUGUUUAUGCCCUUUUAUUAGCAAAGAGCAGUACAGCAAUAACAUAUAAUUCCAAAUUUAUAAAAUACAAUAAAACUCCAAAUGACCAAGUACA